GACGAACGCUGGCGGCGUGCCUAAUACAUGCAAGUCGAGCGAAGUUUUUCUGGUGCUUGCCCUAGAAAAACUUAGCGGCGAACGGGUGAGUAACACGUAAAGAACCUGCCUCAUAGACUGGGACAACUAUUGGAAACGAUAGCUAAUACCGGAUAACAGUAUUUCUCGCAUGAGAGAUAUUUAAAAGUUGGUUAUGCUAACACUAUGAGAUGGCUUUGCGGUGCAUUAGCUAGUUGGUGGGGUAAAGGCCCACCAAGGCGACGAUGCAUAGCCGACCUGAGAGGGUGAUCGGCCACACUGGGACUGAGACAGGCCCAGACUCCUACGGGAGGCAGCAGUAGGGAAUCUUCCGCAAUGGGCGAAAGCCUGACGGAGCAACGCCGCGUGAGUGAAGAAGGAUUUCGGUUCGUAAAGCUCUGUUGUUAGGGAAGAAUGGAUAUGUAGUAACUAUACAUGUAAGAGACGGUACCUAACCAGAAAGCCACGGCUAACUACGUG
This 498-nucleotide ribosomal RNA is filed under the name uncultured bacterium. RNAcentral describes it as "partial 16S ribosomal RNA". It matches the Rfam family "Bacterial small subunit ribosomal RNA", at positions 28 to 507 of the family's 1533-position model. The record is from RNAcentral.